This 704-nucleotide ribosomal RNA is filed under the name uncultured Bacilli bacterium. Its description in RNAcentral is "bacterial SSU rRNA". It matches the Rfam family "Bacterial small subunit ribosomal RNA", at positions 58 to 733 of the family's 1533-position model. The record is from RNAcentral. Lineage: Bacteria; Bacillati; Bacillota; Bacilli.
CAAGUCGAACGCUUCUUUCCUCCCGAGUGCUUGCACUCAAUUGGAAAGAGGAGUGGCGGACGGGUGAGUAACACGUGGGUAACCUACCCAUCAGAGGGGGAUAACACUUGGAAACAGGUGCUAAUACCGCAUAACAGUUUAUGCCGCAUGGCAUAAGAGUGAAAGGCGCUUUCGGGUGUCGCUGAUGGAUGGACCCGCGGUGCAUUAGCUAGUUGGUGAGGUAACGGCUCACCAAGGCCACGAUGCAUAGCCGACCUGAGAGGGUGAUCGGCCACACUGGGACUGAGACACGGCCCAGACUCCUACGGGAGGCAGCAGUAGGGAAUCUUCGGCAAUGGACGAAAGUCUGACCGAGCAACGCCGCGUGAGUGAAGAAGGUUUUCGGAUCGUAAAACUCUGUUGUUAGAGAAGAACAAGGACGUUAGUAACUGAACGUCCCCUGACGGUAUCUAACCAGAAAGCCACGGCUAACUACGUGCCAGCAGCCGCGGUAAUACGUAGGUGGCAAGCGUUGUCCGGAUUUAUUGGGCGUAAAGCGAGCGCAGGCGGUUUCUUAAGUCUGAUGUGAAAGCCCCCGGCUCAACCGGGGAGGGUCAUUGGAAACUGGGAGACUUGAGUGCAGAAGAGGAGAGUGGAAUUCCAUGUGUAGCGGUGAAAUGCGUAGAUAUAUGGAGGAACACCAGUGGCGAAGGCGGCUCUCUGGU